AGAGUUUGAUCAUGGCUCAGGAUGAACGCUAGCUACAGGCUUAACACAUGCAAGUCGAGGGUAGCAGGGUAGCAAUACCGCUGACGACCGGCGCACGGGUGAGUAACACGUAUCCAACCUUCCCAUAACUCAGGGAUAGCCUUUCGAAAGAAAGAUUAAUACCUGAUAGUACUUUUUCAAGGCAUCUUGAGAAAGUUAAAGAUUUAUUGGUUAUGGAUGGGGAUGCGUUCCAUUAGAUAGUUGGUGAGGUAACGGCUCACCAAGUCUUCGAUGGAUAGGGGUUCUGAGAGGAGGGUCCCCCACAUUGGUACUGAGACACGGACCAAACUCCUACGGGAGGCAGCAGUGAGGAAUAUUGGUCAAUGGGCGAGAGCCUGAACCAGCCAAGUAGCGUGAAGGAUUGAAGGUCCUAUGGAUUGUAAACUUCUUUUAUAGUAGAAUAAAGUGAUCCACGUGUGGAUUUUUGUAUGUAUACUAUGAAUAAGGAUCGGCUAACUCCGUGCCAGCCGCAGC
This 513-nucleotide ribosomal RNA is filed under the name uncultured bacterium. RNAcentral's name for it is "bacterial SSU rRNA". It matches the Rfam family "Bacterial small subunit ribosomal RNA", at positions 8 to 518 of the family's 1533-position model. The record is from RNAcentral.